This 1110-nucleotide ribosomal RNA is filed under the name uncultured bacterium. RNAcentral describes it as "bacterial SSU rRNA". It matches the Rfam family "Bacterial small subunit ribosomal RNA", at positions 394 to 1503 of the family's 1533-position model. The record is from RNAcentral.
ACGCCGCGUGAGUGAAGACGGCCUUCGGGUUGUAAAGCUCUGUGACGCGGGACGAGGGCCCCUCCUCGGGAGGGGCGGGACGGUACCGCGAGAGGAAGCCCCUGCUAACUACGUGCCAGCAGCCGCGGUAAGACGUAGGGGGCGAGCGUUGUCCGGAAUUACUGGGCGUAAAGGGCGUGUAGGCGGUGCCGUGCGUAGCGGUUUUAAGCCCGCGGCUUCACCGCGGGAGGGCGGCUAAACGGCGGCGCUAGAGGGCAGGAGAGGUGCGUGGAAUUCCCGGUGGAGCGGUGAAAUGCGUAGAGAUCGGGAAGAACACCAGUGGCGAAGGCGGCGCACUGGCCUGGCCCUGACGCUGAGGCGCGAUAGCGUGGGGAGCAAACGGGAUUAGAUACCCCGGUAGUCCACGCCGUAAACGAUGGGUACUAGGUGUCGUGGGGGUGGCCCUGCGGUGCCGGAGCUAACGCACUAAGUACCCCGCCUGGGGAGUACGGCCCGCAAGGUUGAAACUCAAAGGAAUUGACGGGGGCCCGCACAAGCAGUGGAGCAUGUGGUUUAAUUCGACGCAACGCGCAGAACCUUACCAGGGCACGACGGUCGUGAGCGGCGGGAAACCGCCGGGCGUCCUUCGGGACGAGCGACUGCAGGUGCUGCAUGGUUGUCGUCAGCUCGUGUCGUGAGAUGUUGGGUUAAGUCCCGCAACGAGCGCAACCCUCGUCGCGUGUUGCCAGCGGUUCGGCCGGGCACUCACGCGAGACAGCCGGGGACGACCCGGAGGAAGGUGGGGAUGACGUCAAAUCCGCAUGGCCUUGAUGUCCUGGGCGACACACGUGCUACAAUGGCCGCGACAACGGGCAGCCACCGCGCGAGCGGGCGCGAAUCCCUGAAACGCGGUCGUAGUUCGGAUUGCAGGCUGCAACCCGCCUGCAUGAAGCCGGAAUUGCUAGUAAUCGCGGAUCAGCAUGCCGCGGUGAAUUCGUUCCCGGGCCUUGUACACACCGCCCGUCACACCACGAAAGCGGCUCACACCCGAAGCCGGGCCAGCCGACCGCGAGGCGGCCGCCGUCGACGGUGGGGGGCGUGAUUGGGGUGAAGUCGUAACAAGGUAGCCGU